This 732-nucleotide ribosomal RNA is filed under the name uncultured bacterium. RNAcentral's name for it is "bacterial SSU rRNA". It matches the Rfam family "Bacterial small subunit ribosomal RNA", at positions 51 to 765 of the family's 1533-position model. The record is from RNAcentral.
ACACAUGCAAGUCGAACGGAGAUUACUUCGGUACUCUUAGUGGCGAACGGGUGAGUAACGCGUGGGCAACCUGCCCUCUAGAUGGGGACAACAUCCCGAAAGGGGUGCUAAUACCGAAUGUGACAGCAAUCUCGCAUGAGGAUGCUGUGAAAGAUGGCCUCUAUUUAUAAGCUAUCGCUAGAGGAUGGGCCUGCGUCUGAUUAGCUAGUUGGUGGGGUAACGGCCUACCAAGGCGAUGAUCAGUAGCCGGUCUGAGAGGAUGAACGGCCACAUUGGGACUGAGACACGGCCCAGACUCCUACGGGAGGCAGCAGUGGGGAAUCUUCCGCAAUGGGCGAAAGCCUGACGGAGCAAUGCCGCGUGAGUGAUGAAGGAAUUCGUUCCGUAAAGCUCUUUUGUUUAUGACGAAUGUGCAGGUUGUGAAUAAUGACUUGUAAUGACGGUAGUAAACGAAUAAGCCACGGCUAACUACGUGCCAGCAGCCGCGGUAAUACGUAGGUGGCGAGCGUUGUCCGGAAUUAUUGGGCGUAAAGAGCAUGUAGGCGGUUUUUUAAGUCUGGAGUGAAAAUGCGGGGCUCAACCCCGUAUGGCUCUGGAUACUGGAAGACUUGAGUGCAGGAGAGGAAAGGGGAAUUCCCAGUGUAGCGGUGAAAUGCGUAGAUAUUGGGAGGAACACCAGUGGCGAAGGCGCCUUUCUGGACUGUGUCUGACGCUGAGAUGCGAAAGCCAGGG